AGAGUUUGAUCAUGGCUCAGGACGAACGCUGGCGGCAUGCCUAACACAUGCAAGUCGAACGGAGGUAUAACGCAAGUUAUGCCUUAGUGGCGAACGGGUGAGUAACACGUGAGCAACCUGCCCUGUACAACGGGAUAACACUAAGAAAUUAGUGCUAAUACGGUAUAUGACCACACCGAGGCAUCUCGGAGAGGUAAAAGCGAAUAGCGGUACAGGAUGGGCUCGCGUCCAAUUAGCUUGUUGGUGAGAUAACAGCCCACCAAGGCAACGAUUGGUAGCCGACUUGAGAGAGUGAUCGGCCACACUGGAACUGAGAUACGGUCCAGACUCCUACGGGAGGCAGCAGUGGGGAAUAUUGGGCAAUGGAGGAAACUCUUACCAAGCAAUGCCGCGUGAGUGAAUGAAGGUCUUCGGAUUGUAAAGCUCUUUGAUUGGGGACGAAUAAAUGACGGUACCCAAGGAACAAGCCCCGGCUAACUAUGUGCCAGCCGCCGC
RNAcentral lists this ribosomal RNA (495 nucleotides) under uncultured bacterium. RNAcentral describes it as "bacterial SSU rRNA". It matches the Rfam family "Bacterial small subunit ribosomal RNA", at positions 8 to 518 of the family's 1533-position model. The record is from RNAcentral.